RNAcentral lists this ribosomal RNA (435 nucleotides) under uncultured marine eukaryote. RNAcentral's name for it is "bacterial SSU rRNA". It matches the Rfam family "Eukaryotic small subunit ribosomal RNA", at positions 619 to 1054 of the family's 1831-position model. The record is from RNAcentral.
UUAAAAAGCUCGUAGUUGGAUUUCUGUGGGGACGGAGCGGCCGGCCGCUACUAGCGGUUCGAGCUAGCGCUUUCCCUACAUCCUGCCGCGAACCGCGCUACCAUUAGUUUGGUGGCGCCGGGGAUCGGCUCGUUUACUUUGAGAAAAAUAGAGUGUUCAAAGCAGGCCACACGCCUUGAAUAAGUUAGCAUGGAAUAAUAACUAAGGACUUCGGUUCUAUUUUGUUGGUGUUCGGGACUGAAGUAAUGAUUGAUAGGGACAGUUGGGGCGGUCCGUAUUCCAAAGCGAGAGGUGAAAUUCUUAGACCUUCGGAAGACGAACAGCUGCGAAAGCGUUCCGCAAGGAUGUUCCCUAUGAUCAAGAACGAAAGUAGGGGGAUCGAAGACGAUCAGAUACCGUCGUAGUCUCAACUAUAAACUAUACCAGCUAGGGAUC